AAGUCGUAACAAGGUCUCCGUAGGUGAACCUGCGGAGGGAUCAUUAACACGUAUCCAAACGUACCAAACCCAAACCGGUCUCUAUAUUUCCCAUUUUAGGAAGGCGGUCAGCAAGCCACAGGUGAAUUCUCUUUGUUUACAAAGAGACUACUUGCGAUCUACAGCUCUUGAGGCUAAGUCUUUCAAUUAUGGCGUAAACCCAAGUCACCUGGCUAUUAGGCCAACCCUGCAGUUGUGCCUUGGUGGCCGAUUAAUUUCGACCACUAAGGUACGAUUGACCAGGAACCUUUUAGCCUUAUUGAACCCUAUUUUUAACCCCUUUAAUAUAAAUUAUUACUGACUUUACUUCUCUAUGGACUUCGGUCUAUAUUGAUGUAUACGAAAUUGUGAACAACUCUUAGCAACGGAUAUCUUGGUUCUC
RNAcentral lists this unclassified non-coding RNA (421 nucleotides) under fungal sp. Its description in RNAcentral is "partial internal transcribed spacer region". The stretch from base 1 to 46 matches the Rfam family "Eukaryotic small subunit ribosomal RNA", at positions 1786 to 1831 of the family's 1831-position model. The record is from RNAcentral. Lineage: Eukaryota; Fungi.